This 640-nucleotide ribosomal RNA is filed under the name Cortinarius duracinus var. raphanicus. RNAcentral's name for it is "eukaryotic LSU rRNA". It matches the Rfam family "Eukaryotic large subunit ribosomal RNA", at positions 1 to 625 of the family's 3401-position model. The record is from RNAcentral. Lineage: Eukaryota; Fungi; Basidiomycota; Agaricomycetes; Agaricales; Cortinariaceae.
UGACCUCAAAUCAGGUAGGACUACCCGCUGAACUUAAGCAUAUCAAUAAGCGGAGGAAAAGAAACUAACAAGGAUUCCCCUAGUAACUGCGAGUGAAGCGGGAAAAGCUCAAAUUUAAAAUCUGGCAGUCUUUGGCUGUCCGAGUUGUAAUCUAGAGAAGUGCUAUCCGCGCUGGACCGUGUACAAGUCUCCUGGAAUGGAGCGUCAUAGAGGGUGAGAAUCCCGUCUUUGACACGGACUGCCAGGGCUUUGUGAUACGCUCUCAAAGAGUCGGGUUGUUUGGGAAUGCAGCUCAAAAUGGGUGGUAAAUUCCAUCUAAAGCUAAAUAUUGGCGAGAGACCGAUAGCGAACAAGUACCGUGAGGGAAAGAUGAAAAGAACUUUGGAAAGAGAGUUAAACAGUACGUGAAAUUGCUGAAAGGGAAACGCUUGAAGUCAGUCGCGUUGUCCAGGGAUCAACCUUGCUUUUGCUUGGUGCACUUUCUGGUUGACGGGUCAGCAUCAAUUUUGACUAUUGGAAAAAGAUUAGGGGAAUGUGACAUCUUUGGAUGUGUUAUAGCCCUUGGUUGCAUACAAUGGUUGGGAUUGAGGAACUCAGCACGCCGCAAGGCCGGGUUUAAACCACGUACGUGCUUAGGAUG